AACAAACGCUGGCGGCGUGCCUAAUACAUGCAAGUCAAACGGGGAAAACUUUCGGGUGAGUACUAGUGGCGCACGGGUGAGGAAUACGUAGGUAAUUUGCCUUGAAGAGGGGGAUAACUUUCCGAAAGGAAAGCUAAUACCGCAUAAGACCACAGGAUCUGAGGAUCUAGGGGUAAAAGGUUUUUCGCUUCAAGUUAAGC
RNAcentral lists this ribosomal RNA (200 nucleotides) under uncultured bacterium. RNAcentral describes it as "partial 16S ribosomal RNA". It matches the Rfam family "Bacterial small subunit ribosomal RNA", at positions 29 to 230 of the family's 1533-position model. The record is from RNAcentral.